RNAcentral lists this unclassified non-coding RNA (218 nucleotides) under Hevea brasiliensis (rubber tree). Lineage: Eukaryota; Viridiplantae; Streptophyta; Magnoliopsida; Malpighiales; Euphorbiaceae. The record is from RNAcentral.
UACUCCCCUUUUUUUUUUUUUUUUGAGUAUGGUGGCACUGGUCGUUGUAUUUGGAGUUUUUGACUGAGAUGGCAACGGGAGCAGGAGAAGUUUGCGUUACGAUUGAGAGUUACUUUAAGGGGUUUUGAUUAUAUAUGUGAAGUGAAGCAGCCAAACUUUUCAUUUGGGCUUAGACAUUAAAAUGGACCCUUUCUGUGCUUUUAUAUGUUGGGCCAGGC